RNAcentral lists this long non-coding RNA (436 nucleotides) under Xyrichtys novacula (pearly razorfish). The record is from RNAcentral. Lineage: Eukaryota; Metazoa; Chordata; Actinopteri; Labriformes; Labridae.
GAACAAUAAAACAGUAGUGGGACACUUUCCAGUUCCAGAGAGAUGCUUUUAGAAAUCUAUUCAUAGACAAUGUGGACAUGGUUAAAACUGCCAAGGGAUAUGUUACAUGUUUGUAAUGAUGACGGGUUCAGUCGAUGGAUGGAAGCAACACCAUCAAAAGAUCUUGGAGUCAAAAUAAAUCUUUCACUGCAUGAAUUGGUACAUUAUUUUGGGGAAGAAAGUUAAUCUCUCAAGUAAAUAUCUGAUCAGAGAAUUUGCACUAACACUAACCUAUAGGAAGAUGCUUUGCUACUUGCGCUUAUGAGCUUUCACAAUCAAAAGCACUGAGAUAAAUCUUUCACUGCAUGAUUGACUAACUUACAAAGCUAUGCUUUACUGCGGCUAAAUAAUUAAGUUUUUCGCUUGAGCAGCUGAAAAUUAGUGAAUUAAAUAUAUG